RNAcentral lists this ribosomal RNA (373 nucleotides) under uncultured organism. RNAcentral's name for it is "partial 16S ribosomal RNA". It matches the Rfam family "Bacterial small subunit ribosomal RNA", at positions 527 to 896 of the family's 1533-position model. The record is from RNAcentral.
GUAGGUGGCAAGCGUUGUCCGGAAUUAUUGGGCGUAAAGCGCGCGCAGGCGGUUCUUUAAGUCUGAUGUGAAAGCCCACGGCUCAACCGUGGAGGGUCAUUGGAAACUGGAGAACUUGAGUACAGAAGAGGAAAGCGGAAUUCCACGUGUAGCGGUGAAAUGCGUAGAGAUGUGGAGGAACACCAGUGGCGAAGGCGGCUUUCUGGUCUGUAACUGACGCUGAGGCGCGAAAGCGUGGGGAGCAAACAGGAUUAGAUACCCUGGUAGUCCACGCCGUAAACGAUGAGUACUAAGUGUUAGGGGGUUUCCGCCCCCCUUAGUGCUGCAGCUAACGCAUUAAGCACUCCGCCUGGGGAGUACGGCCGCAAGGCUG